RNAcentral lists this long non-coding RNA (1791 nucleotides) under Canis lupus familiaris (dog). RNAcentral's name for it is "lncRNA (ENSCAFG00040015004.1)". Lineage: Eukaryota; Metazoa; Chordata; Mammalia; Carnivora; Canidae. The record is from RNAcentral.
AUGACUACUGCAAAAGGAUAUCUUUACAGAACCCAGUUCUUUUUUGAAGUUUAUAACUUGGACCCUGUUUUCAGAAAGCAGAAUUCAAUACUUAAAAAUGGACUGGAAAACUGGGCAGCGUGCAUACAGGAAAGCUUGACUGGUGGUCUAAUAAGUUUCUCUCAGCUUUUGACUUCGGUCAUUGGAAUGAUGAUCUGUCUUUCUGGCUCUACAAAUAGAAAGAAUCAAGGUCUCAAAGCUGAAGGGAUUCUGUGAAUAAAGGUGAUUACAGUCAUACUAAGUGAUUUACUAACAAGGAGAUAAAAUGUUAGGAUCAGUGUCCCCAGGCUACUUUCAACUUUUGGCAACAAUAUAAAAAGCCAAAUUAUAAAAAACAAAAACAUAAAUCUAUUUUUCAAUCUAUCUACUUUCUCACUUUGUUACAAUUUAGAAAAUACUUUGGCUCAUCUCAGUGUUAAUAUCAUAUUAAACUCUUAAACAAAACUUCAAACUUCUGCUUGGAAUUUUCUUUAAUGGAAAUUUAUUUUCAUUUCUGGAGUAAUUAAAACAUAAUUUAGCAUAUGAUAUUUGGAAAUGAUCUUUUUAAAAAUAAUUUCAUGAGUUUUAAUCAAUAUCACCUGGAAAUUUUAGUCUAUAAAAUUAGACACACAUUUUAUUAUUUAGGCAUUUUGGUCAACUUCCUAUACUAUUUAGUCUUUAGGAUUGUCAUGGGUACCAAAAAACAUUCAUAAUUUUGGACUGACUUCUCUAAGACAUGGUCAGUUUGAGGCCAACUUUCUCAUUUUCUUUCAUUCAUUCAUAGCUGCUCUGAGUCUAGGUUUAUUCAAAAAGAAAUUUCUGACUCUUUAAAGACUUUAAAAGUAACUCAUAUUUAAAAAACUAAUUCUGUUAAAGGAUUAUAGAUUACCUCAAACCACAAGUAAAUGGCUAUAAUCCCCAACUACUUUGUUAAAUAUUGAGUUUCUGACAUUUUGUUCUUUUCAUCCUUGCUAGGUGACAUAUGUGUAUGCCGUCUUAUGGGUUGUGUCAUCUUUUAGUUAUUUUUCCUCCCUUAUACCAUGUCUCCAGUCAGAUUUUUUUUUUAAUUUCCUGCUCACUUCCUUCUUUCACCAGGAUCUUUUCAUAGACUUAAUCACUUUGAAUAUACUAUUCAAAGUGUAUUGAAUUGAUGUAAUUUAAAAAUACAUAUUCUGUAAAUAUUCUAAGAUUAAAAUAUUAGUAAGACACAAAUUGAACUACCAAACGUUUUGGAUAGUUUAUAGUUCUAUUAUUAUGAAAAAGCUUAUUAACAUUAUAAACUUGAAAUCCUCAGUUUGUUUUGAUAAUUUAGUAACCCAACAUAGGAUAAAGUUCUCUGUAUUUGCCCUAUAACGUUCUUGUUUAAAUAUUUUUAUAGAUGUUUUCUUCUUGGGAACAGUAAUUCAAUAAGCUUUUUGAAGCAUGAGCAUGUUGAAAAACAUAAUUCUGUAAUUUGAAUUGUAUUAGGUUUACAUUUUUGUUUCUCAUUUUUUGCAAACUUUAUUUUUAAAUAUUUUAUUUAUUUAUUCAUAAAAGACAGAGAAGGAGGGCAGAGACACAGGCAGCAGGAGAAAUAGGCUCCAUGCAGGGAGCCCAAUGCAAGACUUGAUCCUGGCACUCCAGGAUCAAGCCCUGAGUCAAAGGCAGAUGCUUAACUGCUGAACCAUCCAGGCAUCCCUAUUUAUUUUUUAACAAUUCUGUAAAAUAACUUUUGGAUUGGUGCAUAAUAAAGGUAGUGAAGUUAAAACUGAAGAUUUUUGUGUUUGAAAUGAC